AUUGAACGCUGGCGGCAUGGCUAAAACAUGCAAGUCGAACGCGAAAGUGGAGCUUGCUCCACGAGUAGAGUGGCGAAAGGGCGAGUAAUGCGUUUCUAACGUACCCCAAGGUCGAGGAUAGCUCAUCGAAAGGUGAAUUAAUACUCGAUAACCCCACCUGCCGCAUGGUAUGGUGGGCAAAGGCUUGCUGCCUUGGGAUCGGGGAACGUGCUAUCAGGUUGUUGGUGAGGUAACGGCUCACCAAGCCUAAGACGGCUAGCGGGUGUGAGAGCACGGCCAGCCACACUGGGACUGAGACACGGCCCAG
This 307-nucleotide ribosomal RNA is filed under the name uncultured bacterium. Its description in RNAcentral is "bacterial SSU rRNA". It matches the Rfam family "Bacterial small subunit ribosomal RNA", at positions 30 to 334 of the family's 1533-position model. The record is from RNAcentral.